AACAUCGCCAUCACCAACAUCUACGCUCCCUCUACACGUGCCCUCAAACAAGCUUUCUUUGCCGACCUCCUCUCCAUCGCGCAACCUGACCAUGCUCCUUGGCUUGUCCUCGGCGAUUUCAACCUCCUUCGCUUUCCCUCGGACAAAAACAACUCCUCCUUUCGACAGUUAGAAGCUAAUGCCUUUAACCACGUUAUCGACACCUUAGCCCUCAUUGAACUGCCUCUCCUCGACCGACAAUUUACGUGGACCAACAACCGCUCCUCGUCCGAACAUCAUAACUGCACCCUAUUGGAUAUGGUGCAUUCCAUGAUGUUUCUUAUCAAAUUACCACUAUCGUUUAUGGGUUAG
RNAcentral lists this ribosomal RNA (351 nucleotides) under Triticum aestivum (bread wheat). RNAcentral's name for it is "partial small subunit ribosomal RNA". The record is from RNAcentral. Lineage: Eukaryota; Viridiplantae; Streptophyta; Magnoliopsida; Poales; Poaceae.